Molecule: ribosomal RNA, 412 nt
Filed under: uncultured bacterium
Lineage: Bacteria
Description: bacterial SSU rRNA
Rfam family: Bacterial small subunit ribosomal RNA
Source: RNAcentral
AACGAACGCUGGCGGCAGGCCUAACACAUGCAAGUCGAACGCCGUAGCAAUACGGAGUGGCAGACGGGUGAGUAACACGUGGGAACGUACCCUUCGGUUCGGGAUAACUCAGGGAAACUUGAGCUAAUACCGGAUACGUCCGAGAGGAGAAAGAUUUAUCGCCGAGGGAUCGGCCCGCGUCUGAUUAGCUUGUUGGUGAGGUAACGGCUCACCAAGGCGACGAUCAGUAGCUGGUCNGAGAGGAUGAUCAGCCACAUUGGGACUGAGACACGGCCCAAACUCCUACGGAAGGCAGCAGUGGGGAAUAUUGGACAAUGGGCGCAAGCCUGAUCCAGCCAUGCCGCGUGAGUGAUGAAGGCCCUAGGGUUGUAAAGCUCUUUUACCCGGGAAGAUAAUGACUGUACCGGGAGAA